GACGAACGCUGGCGGCGUGCUUAACACAUGCCAGUCGAACGGAAAGGCCCUGCUUUUGUGGGGUGCUCGAGUGGCGAACGGGUGAGUAACACGUGAGUAACCUGCCCUUGACUUUGGGAUAACUUCAGGAAACUGGGGCUAAUACCGGAUAGGAGCUCCUGCUGCAUGGUGGGGGUUGGAAAGUUUCGGCGGUUGGGGAUGGACUCGCAGCUUAUCAGCUUGUUGGUGAGGUAGUGGCUUACCAAGGCUUUGACGGGUAGCCGGCCUGGGAGGGUGACCGGCCACAUUGGGACUGAGAUACGGCCCAGACUCCUACGGGAGGCAGCAGUGGGGAAUAUUGCACAAUGGGCGGAAGCCUGAUGCAGCAACGCCGCGUGCGGGAUGACGGCCUUCGGGUUGUAAACCGCUUUCGCCGGUGCCGAAGCGUGAGUGACGGUAAUGGGUAAAGAAGCACCGGCUAACUACGUG
RNAcentral lists this ribosomal RNA (468 nucleotides) under uncultured bacterium. Its description in RNAcentral is "partial 16S ribosomal RNA". It matches the Rfam family "Bacterial small subunit ribosomal RNA", at positions 28 to 507 of the family's 1533-position model. The record is from RNAcentral.